AGGAGUUUGGGUACCAUGGCUCAGAAUGAACGUUGGCGGCGUGGAUUAGGCAUGCAAGUCGAGCGAGAAGUUUACUUCGGUAAAUGGACAGCGGCGAAAGGGACAGUAAUGUGUAGGUACCUACCCUCUGAUCUGGGAUAGCUGCGGGAAACUGCAGGUAAUACCGGAUAAUGUCUUCGGACCAAAGGUGUGAUUCCGUCUGAGGAGGGGCCUGCAUCCUAUUAGCUUGUUGGUGAGGUAAUGGCUCACCAAGGCAACGAUGGGUAGCGGGUGUGAGAGCAUGACCCGCGUCAUUGGGACUGAGACACUGCCCAGACAUCUACGGAUGGCUGCAGUCGAGAAUCUUCGGCAAUGGGCGAAAGCCUGACCGAGCGACGCCGCGUGCGGGAUGAAGGCCCUCGGGUUGUAAACCGCUGUCGUUGGGGAGGAAAUGCAAAAGGGCUAUCCCUUUUGUUUGACCGAUCCAAGGAGGAAGUACGGGCUAAGUUCGUGCCAGCAGCCGCGGUAAGACGAACCGUACGAACGUUAUUCGGAAUUACUGGGCUUAAAGGGUGCGUAGGCUGCACGGAAAGUUGGGUGUGAAAGCCCUCAGCUCAACUGAGGAAUUGCAUCCAAAACUGCCGUGCUUGAGGGAGACAGAGGUGAGCGGAACUCAAGGUGGAAGCGGUGAAAUGCGUUGAUAUCUUGAGGAACACCGGUGGCGAAGGCGGCUCACUGGGUCUCUUUCUUGACGCUGAGCAC
This 741-nucleotide ribosomal RNA is filed under the name uncultured bacterium. RNAcentral describes it as "bacterial SSU rRNA". It matches the Rfam family "Bacterial small subunit ribosomal RNA", at positions 1 to 754 of the family's 1533-position model. The record is from RNAcentral.